Molecule: unclassified non-coding RNA, 291 nt
Filed under: Archaeospora sp.
Lineage: Eukaryota; Fungi; Glomeromycota; Glomeromycetes; Archaeosporales; Archaeosporaceae
Description: partial contains 5.8S ribosomal RNA and internal transcribed spacer 2
Rfam family: 5.8S ribosomal RNA (bases 1-71)
Source: RNAcentral
GUGAAUCAUCGAAUUUUUGAACGCAUAUUGCACCAUCUGGUAUGCCGGAGAGUAUGCCUAUUUGAGGGUCAUUUGAAAUAAUAUAAAUGUCGAGAUUUGCUGGAAAUCAAAAAUGGGUCGGUCCAGCUUUCGUGUGUGGGUCGCCUAAAAUGCAAGACAAGCUCAUUUCUUGGGUUGCGUGAUACUGUCAGUUACCUCGUGACGUCACAGGAAAUCUUCGAGCGUGUUAAGAAUUGUGAAAGAGAUAAGCGUCAUUUAUCUCGAACUCAAUGUUAAAUUGAAUCAUGACCU